UGUCCCUGACCUGAGUAGAGGGGCAUCAAGUUGAUGGUGCUCUUCUCCUACGAGCCAGGGGGGCAAAACAACCCAUUAUUUAUCCUGGCAUGGCUUUUGGUCUACGUCCAUGCCUGGUUCAUGCCUUGGACAUAUGG
This 137-nucleotide small nucleolar RNA is filed under the name Castor canadensis (American beaver). RNAcentral describes it as "Small nucleolar RNA SNORA48 (ENSCCNG00000002645.1)". It matches the Rfam family "Small nucleolar RNA SNORA48". From Rfam's summary of the family: The snoRNA ACA 48 has been identified to guide pseudouridylation of the residue U3797 in the 28S rRNA subunit. Its host gene EIF4A1 (eukaryotic translation initiation factor 4A1) is shared with U67 and snoRNA mgU6-77 Lineage: Eukaryota; Metazoa; Chordata; Mammalia; Rodentia; Castoridae. The record is from Rfam by way of RNAcentral.